CAAAGUGUAGCUUAUAUAGUAAAGUACUUCAUUUACACUGAAGAUUUUUCUGUGCAAAUCGGAAUACUUUGA
Molecule: transfer RNA, 72 nt
Filed under: Conophymacris viridis
Lineage: Eukaryota; Metazoa; Arthropoda; Insecta; Orthoptera; Dericorythidae
Also listed under: 1 other name
Description: tRNA-Val
Rfam family: tRNA
About the family: Transfer RNA (tRNA) molecules are approximately 80 nucleotides in length. Their secondary structure includes four short double-helical elements and three loops (D, anti-codon, and T loops).
Source: RNAcentral